RNAcentral lists this ribosomal RNA (253 nucleotides) under uncultured bacterium. RNAcentral's name for it is "partial 16S ribosomal RNA". It matches the Rfam family "Bacterial small subunit ribosomal RNA", at positions 524 to 776 of the family's 1533-position model. The record is from RNAcentral.
GACGUAGGGCGCGAGCGUUGUCCGGAUUUAUUGGGCGUAAAGAGCUCGUAGGCGGCUUGUUGCGUCGACUGUGAAAACCCGCGGCUUAACCGCGGGCCUGCAGUUGAUACGGGCGGGCUAGAGUUCGGUAGGGGAGACUGGAAUUCCUGGUGUAGCGGUGAAAUGCGCAGAUAUCAGGAAGAACACCGGUGGCGAAGGCGGUCUGCUGGGCAGUUGCUGACACUGAGGCGCGACAGCGUGGGGAGCAAACAGG